Molecule: long non-coding RNA, 215 nt
Filed under: Homo sapiens (human)
Lineage: Eukaryota; Metazoa; Chordata; Mammalia; Primates; Hominidae
Description: non-protein coding lnc-OR10C1-1:2
Source: RNAcentral
CGCUUUUUUGAGUGCCCAUGGAAGUAAGCACUAGCAAUCAAUACUCUUAACUGAAAUCCAAGUUCCAAUAAUCAUCAAGAGUAUAACAUUCCUCUUUAGUUUGCUUUUAGUUCUCAUUGUGAGAUCACAAGUGGAGGCUCCAACCAGUCCAGAAGUUCCUUUCUAUGGGGAAGCUGUGGCAGCAAGGCCGUGAAGAGAGUCUGACUUAAUUGCAA